Long non-coding RNA from Brassica rapa (field mustard), 812 nucleotides. RefSeq lists it as uncharacterized. The record is from RefSeq and is a predicted model, not a curated record. Lineage: Eukaryota; Viridiplantae; Streptophyta; Magnoliopsida; Brassicales; Brassicaceae.
CAUAAGAGCAUGAUUAUCGGCGUCUUUUAAGCGUCUCUUAGUUGCUGACUAGGAUAAAAAAUAAAUGAAAAAUGGGAAUUAUCUUAAGGGACGUCGCUUAAUUAAGCACAAGAAGAGACGCAUUUUGUGGACACGCGUCAGGUUGGUAUGGUUUUGGGAGGUCUCCUCUCCGACGACGAAAUCACAGAAAAUUGUGGGUGAUCUCCUUGAAGCAAAGCGGCGGUGGCCUCCUCUCCGACGACAAAAUCACAAAAAAUUCCGAUCGUGUUCGAGUUACAUACAAGUUUCGUUCUUUUCUUACGAGAAUUUGUUUUCAUCGUCUUGAUCGUGAGACCCGCACAUAUCUUCUGUUCUCAAGUUCAGAGUCCACAUACAGGGCUACAAAUGAUAUGCUGAUUGGUCCAGAUUAGGCUACUUGAACUCUGUGACAUGGAAACUCUGUGAACUCGGCUUCUACAGCACUGUAGUACUUGAGGCACGAGCAUCAUGUUCUCGCAGUUGCAUGGUCACCAGAUGCAAACUGUCUUGUGAGCGGUGAUAGAAACGGAAAAGUCUGUUGUUGGGAUCCAAGCAAAGGAGAAUUACAGGGCAAAGCACUUGCAGUUAACAUGUUCAGAUGAAGAAAUGAACAGAAUAUGUUCUUCGGACAGGAGCUUUUGACCACACUAGACAAGUAACAUGUUCAGAUGAAGAAAUGGAAAAGGUAAUAAUAAGCUUCUGAUGAAGAAAUGGAAAAGGUAAUAAUAAGUCUUCUUCAUUUUUUGAGGUCAAGUCUACAUAAAACAAUAUGAUAUUAAUGAGAGGUGUGUCCA